This 61-nucleotide transfer RNA is filed under the name Metacrangonyx sp. n. DJ2019. RNAcentral's name for it is "tRNA-Phe". The record is from RNAcentral. Lineage: Eukaryota; Metazoa; Arthropoda; Malacostraca; Amphipoda; Metacrangonyctidae.
AUUUGGGUAGCUCUUAGAGCAUUAUUUUGAAGAAAUAAAGGAAGAGACACUCUCUCAAAUA